AAGGUCAUUUUGACUAUGCCGAAGACAGUAGGUGUCCCAAGUGAGAAAAGAAGCUGAAGGGACGUAAGCUUAUCACCUACCGAGGAGAAGAGUUUUUAUGGUAAAUUCUACCCUUCCGCCUUCGGAAGGGUUUUUUAUCAAUAAG
Regulatory RNA element from Lachnospiraceae bacterium 10-1, 145 nucleotides. It matches the Rfam family "Ribosomal protein L10 leader". From Rfam's summary of the family: This family is a putative r-protein leader autoregulatory structure found in B. subtilis and other low-GC Gram-positive bacteria. It is located in the 5' untranslated regions of mRNAs encoding ribosomal proteins L10 and L12 (rplJ-rplL). NCBI's taxonomy places the organism in Bacteria, Bacillati, Bacillota, Clostridia, Lachnospirales, Lachnospiraceae. The record is from Rfam.